This is a long non-coding RNA of Mesocricetus auratus (golden hamster), 3697 nucleotides long. RefSeq lists it as uncharacterized. The record is from RefSeq and is a predicted model, not a curated record. NCBI's taxonomy places the organism in Eukaryota, Metazoa, Chordata, Mammalia, Rodentia, Cricetidae. The transcript is spliced from 2 exons.
UUUUUUUGAGGUUGUUUUUGAGGUUUUUCUUUGAAAGACUACUUUGAGGAAGAAGCCAGCUUGAGUUUGUUUUUUUUCUCUCUGAUCCCUGCUGACUGACCAAGGACUUCAAGCUGUUUACACGUCUGCAAACACGCGUUUCCAUCUCCGUCCCCACUGCCACUCACUCUGCACCUGAGCCGCCUCCCACCACAGACACUGUCCAAAGAAACAUGGGUGAUCGGCUGCAGAAGGCGACUUCCAACCGCCCUGCAUUCUGGGAUUUUUCCACGACCUCCGCACAGGAAUCAUCCCCACUCCCAGAGACCCUCCCUACCUUCACAGACCUCACUCUCGGUCCACCAACUGCUAAAGGUCAACCAUCAACUUAUUGAAUGCUAGUUACUCAAACUGUGUCUGCUUGUAAGAGAAGCACCCCGUCCCAAAAAGAUGAAAAUGAAUCACGCCGAGACAGAAAGCCCAACGCGCUCCCCCAUCUUCCUCCCACUACAGGAGCGCACACCCUCUAAUGAUCCCCUGGGAUUCUGGGGCAAAGAGAGGAUGGGGGUUCACUUUGCAGAGAACAGUUAUUUAUCCAAGUUUCUCCCUGAGACAUCUAAACAUCUUCUCAUUUUACUUAUUUGUUUGUUGUGUGCGUUUUUGCCCACGUUGCUGUGGCACACACUUAUGGAGACAGGGGACAUCUUGAGGGAGUCAGUUGUCCUCUUCCACCAUGUGGCAGCCUUGGCGGCAGUUGUCUUUAUACACCAAGCCGUAUCCCCAGUUGUCCUUGAGACAUUUAAUUAUAGAGUUAGAUGGGACUUCUUUGGGGGCAGAAAUGUCCUCUUGUUUUGUGAUAGAGGAAACAACUACAUGGAAAGACAGUGAUUUUUUUCCAAUGUCCCCAUAGAUUCUCUCCUUCAUCUAAGGGACAGUCAUGUUCACCUUCAUCCUGAAUUUCCUGAUCACCUCUGCAGGACCAUGUCAUCAGGAAAGUUCCCACAGCUGAGGAGACAAAAGAGAGAGAGAGAGAGAAGUGAAAUUCACCAGCCACUCUACCUCCAAGCAAUGUUGAGUCAGGAUGGGGAGCCUCAGAAGUGGCAUGGGUGUCCCUGAUGAACAAUCCUCAGAGGUUAUCUGGAGUGACCCUGAGGCCAUCUACACUCAGAGAAGCUGAGCCACAGACAGGAAGCCUGACUCUGGGGUCACCGCCCACGAGAAGCCAGAAUCCUCACCGCAAGCCCCUAUCAGGUGCUACUAUGGCCAGGGUCCUUAAAAGACCUUGAUGACCACUGCUCUGUCACCCUCCUGUUUCAGAGGAGAGAACAGAGAUUCCCCGGGCUGAAAGGGCAAUGAGGCGAAGGUGGACUUCGGAGGCCAGGGAAGAUGCUUCACACAGACCUUUGCACUCUGCCUCUCCUGUGUCUGUUUCAGUGGCUUCUAGUUCUCCCUCUCCAUCUUCCCUCAGUGUCAAGAGUCACUUACACAUCAGUUUCAUCCUGUCCCUCAGGAAAUGGUCUUGUGAACUUGAAAAAAACAAAACCCACAUGGCCUAAAAGCACUCAACCAAGUUAAUUUCUUGUACUGUCCCUUCUGUUCCAUGCCAGUGUCUCUGUCCAGGGCUAGGGUCAGUUUGGUCAGAGUCAACAUAUGCUCCUGGAGCCGUGGUUUAGACUGAGAGCAGAGGGUCACCCAGGGCAGCCUCCCCAAAGCCACCUGCAGCAAAUGCUGUGCGAAUGUGUGCCAGGCCGCUUUGUCACGCACCGUGCAGGAAGACUGGUAGGCAAUCAGUUUCACUGCAGGCGCACAGUCACGAGUCUUGAUCCAGCUGCUGUCGGUCUAGAGUUAUAGCUGGGAUUGUGCAUAAGUCAAAACUUGUGUUUGUGUCCUUCAGUCUUUGUCCCGAGGGCCUUGAAAUUUCAUCAGGAAGCCAGUGCUGUCACCCUCUGCACAUGCUGAACAGCAUAGGAGACUCUAACCUUGAUGGAGCCAAAGCAGCGACAAACCCUCUUCAUUAUCAUGGGAGUGCGACAGGUGACAGCCACACUUGUCUUUCUUGGAGCAGUUACCGUGGUUACUACUGGCAACACACCAGGACCUUCGCCACAACUGUCUUGUUCAACCUGUAAAACACCAGUUCAGUCAGCAGCACUAUUAGGGGUGGAGGUGGAAUUUGAAGCCAUCCCACCCCCCAGCCCCACACCCACUCCAAAGCCACAAGCUUUUUACUCUUGUCACCCACAGUUCAGCCUUCUGCCCAACUCUAACCCUGUGUCCAUGAUUUCUCAAAACAUGACGCUACCUUUUAAACUGUUUCUUCUCGUGUUCUGGUCACCAGGUUUUGGGCCUAGGGCAGUGGUUCUCAAAUUCUGUUGCCUCCUCCCAUAUAAUAGAGAUGAAUGACAGAUAAAGUAGACCUUCUCGUGAUGUGUGCCCUCCCCCCCCCAAGCUGGAAGUGAGAAGGGCAGUGAUUCUGUCCCAACACCUUGAGUUGGGUAGAAAGGGAUUGAGGCAUUGCCUGUGGCUCUCCUGCCACAAGCAUAAGCUCUUUGUGCAGCUAAUCUUGCUUUCCUGAGCCCACCUUGAAUGCUAGAGACGAAUCCCCCUCAAAAGAUCUGCUGGCCAGCACUUCCUAACAGAUCAAGGAGGACUUCCCAAUUUCCUUGGGACUCUUCCCAUGUCCUAACCCAGCCAUUUUCCCGGGAGGAGACUUUAGGUACCAUGAACUCCAAAGCCCUGCCCCACCCUGUGGUGGUGUCUGGGAACUGCAGCCACCAUGUUACUGAGACCAAGUUGGGCAAGUCCUCUCUAAGAUUUGAAUCCAGGCCCUACUUCCAUUCUCAGAAUAGAAUCCAUGUUAAACUGUAAAGGUUAGAGGUAGCCAUCACCCUAGUGCUACUACAACUCCCUCUCCUGCUGCUGCAGCUACAGAAGUCUUACUGUGUGCUUGGCUUGUAGCAUCUGCGUUGCUCUAUCCCACUUAAUUCUCAACACCUAAAAGUCGGAAACAUUUGUUUUACAGACAGGAUAAUGAGGACUCUGAGAACCCCAUGCAUUGUCAGAGCUCCCACUGCUUGUAAGGAGCAGACUAGGAGAUGAUUUCAAAGUGACAGUGACUUUGAGUCAUGGAGUUAGCUUCUCCAUUUAUCUAGGCCAUCAAUUAAAUUAAUUUUAAUGGAGGCCUCUACUUGCUCAUCUAAGUUCUUCUGAGAAUUAAAUGAGUCCUGUAAAGCAAAUGGCAGGAAGGCUGCACACAGUAGACUCAUACUUAUUCCCAUAGAGCCUGUCCCACUGUUUUUUCUUCUGUGGUGCUUGUGUUUGUACAUGUUUCUGAGUGUGCAUAAGUGUGGAGGCCAGGGGUCGGCGUCAAUGUCUCCCUCCAUCACUUGUUCUUUUGAGACAGACUCUCUCACUGAACCUGGAGCUCACAGGCAAGUCCCUGGGAUUCUUCUGGUUCUACUUCCCCAGUCAUGGGGUUGCCGGUGUGCACCUCCCAGUUUUCGCUUUGGGUUCUGGGCAUUAAGCUCGGGUUCUCAUGCAGGCAUAGCAAGCCCUUCACUGACUGAGCCAUCUCCCCAGCCUCAAACUUCCAGGCAGCGUGGCUUACCAACCCCCACUCCUCUGUAGGGACGGACCUCUUUUCACUCAUGCCUCAUGCGCUACUUGCUAACCAUUUACUCAUUCAUUCACCUAUUCAAAUAAAGAUUUGUUUACUUUA